UAAGAAAAUCUUCUAGCGAGGUUCGAGCCGCCCGUACCCCAAUCCGACUCAGGUGGUUAGGUAGAGAAUACCAAGGCGAUCGAGUGAAUCGUGGUUAAGGAAUUCGGCAAAAUGCCCCCGUAACUUCGGGAGAAGGGGGGCCCAGACUCUGAAGUCACUUGCUGACUAGGGGAGAGGGCCGCAGAGACCAGGGAGAAGCGACUGUUUACUAAAAACACAGGUCCGUGCGAAGUCGCAAGACGAUGUAUACGGACUGACGCCUGCCCGGUGCUGGAAGGUUAAGAGGACGGGUUAGAUCUUCGGGUCGAAGCUCAGAAUUUAAGCCCCAGUAAACGGCGGUGGUAACUAUAACCAUCCUAAGGUAGCGAAAUUCCUUGUCGGGUAAGUUCCGACCUGCACGAAUGGCGUAACGACUUCUCCACUGUCUCAACCGCGAACUCGGCGAAAUUGCACUACGAGUAAAGAUGUUCGUUACGCGCAGCAGGACGGAAAGACCCCGGGACCUUCACUAUAGCUUGGUAUUGGUGUUCGGGACGGCUUGUGUAGGAUAGGUGGGAGACUUUGAAGCCGGCACGCCAGUGUCGGUGGAGUCAACGUUGAAAUACCACUCUGGUCGUUCUGGAUGUCUAACCUCGGUCCGUGAUCCGGAUCAGGGACAGUGCCUGGUGGGUAGUUUAACUGGGGCGGUUGCCUCCUAAAAGGUAACGGAGGCGCUCAAAGGUUCCCUCAGCCUGGUUGGCAAUCAGGUGUCGAGUGUAAGUGCACAAGGGAGCUUGACUGCGAGAGAGACAUCUCGAGCAGGGACGAAAGUCGGAACUAGUGACCCGGCGGUGGCUUGUGGAAGCGCCGUCGCUCAACGGAUAAAAGGUACCCCGGGGAUAACAGGCUGAUCUUGCCCAAGAGUCCAUAUCGACGGCAUGGUUUGGCACCUCGAUGUCGGCUCGUCGCAUCCUGGGGGUGGAGUCGCUCCCAAGGGUUGGGCUGUUCGCCCAUUAAAGCGGUACGCGAGCUGGGUUUAGAACGUCGUGAGACAGUUCGGUCCCUAUCCGCUGUGCGCGUAGGAAACUUGAGAAAGGCUGACCCAAGUACGAGAGGACCGGGUUGGACGAACCUCUGGUGUGUCAGUUGUUCUGCCAAGAGCACCGCUGAUUAGCUACGUUCGGAAGUGAUAACCGCUGAAAGCAUCUAAGCGGGAAGCACGUUUCAAGAUGAGGUUUCCAUGGGGCUUGCCCCGAGAGGCUCCUGGCUAGACUACCGGGUUGAUAGGCCAGACGUGGAAGUGCAGUAUGCAUGUAGCUGACUGGUACUAAUAAGCCGAUAACUCG
RNAcentral lists this ribosomal RNA (1325 nucleotides) under metagenome. Its description in RNAcentral is "bacterial LSU rRNA". It matches the Rfam family "Bacterial large subunit ribosomal RNA", at positions 1609 to 2925 of the family's 2925-position model. The record is from RNAcentral.